This 2429-nucleotide ribosomal RNA is filed under the name Candidatus Pacearchaeota archaeon. RNAcentral describes it as "bacterial LSU rRNA". It matches the Rfam family "Archaeal large subunit ribosomal RNA", at positions 399 to 2987 of the family's 2987-position model. Lineage: Archaea; Nanobdellati. The record is from RNAcentral.
GGCACCGAAGACCUUCGGGUCUUCGUGUGUGGCAAGAUUACGUGCCAACCCUAAACAUACAUCCAAGUCCGAUAGCGAACAAGAACCGCGAGGGAAAGCUGAAAAGUACUCUUCAUCGAGGGUGAAAAGACUUGAAAUUUUGUAGUGACAUGAUGGUUGCGGCCCUUUGGGGUUGCAACGUACGUUUGGAAAAAUGGGCCACGGAGUGUAUCUAUGCGGCAAGGUUAAAUUGAAGCCGUAGCGAAAGCGAGUGUGAAAGCGCGCGAGUCACAUGGAUACGACCCGAAGCCGGACGAUCUACUCCUGGACAGGGGGAAGUUUUCCGAAAGGAGAAUGGACGCCCGAACCGUUGUUGUGUGCAUGCACUCGAAUGAGCUGGGAGUAGGGGUGAAAAGCCAAUCUAGUUCGGCAAUGGCUGGUUCCUGCCGAAAUAUGCCUCAGUAUAGUCUUGUCGUGUUAGCUGGCGAGGUACAGUACGGAUAGAGUUUGCAGAACCUUUUGGUUACGGAACUCCUUCCAACUCAGAACAUGCUAGCUGCAAGCGACAGGAAUGGGGGGUAGCGCGUAAGGUGCUAUUCCGAGACCGGAACAACGGAGACUAAUGUUAAGGUCCCUAACUGUAUAUUCAGUGUAACGAAGGGAGUCUUGAACCUAAGACAGUAGGGAGGUAGGCCCAGAAGCAGCCAUCCUUCAAAGAAAGCGUAACAGCUCACCUAUCGAGGUUCGGGGCACCGAAAAUGGACGGGGCUAAAUAUACGACCGAUACAUUAGCGGCACUCGAAAGAGUGUUCGGGUAGGCAGGCGUGCUUUUUGUGCAGAAGCGUUUCCGAGAGGAGACGUGGAACGAGAAGCAAUGAGAAUCGUGGCAAUAGUAAGAUCAAAUUAUCCUGAGAACGGAUAACGUCGUAAGGGCAAGGUUUCCUUGGCGCUAUCGUUUAACCAAGGGUUAGUCGGCACCUAAGUCACACCUUAACUGAAUGUGACGAAUGGACAUCUGGUUAAUAUUCCAGAACUGCAUGAUCUUGUUAUGGCAAAAAGAAGCUUGGGGAUAAGCGGAAGCCCGAAAGGGCUGGAAUGCGGGAAACGAGUGGAGCGUUAAGCAUUAAUGCUCGCCAACUGCAUGAGGAAAGCUGCUGAUUCCUUGAGUCCAUGAAAAACUUUUUGUCUAGAGUGAAUGUAGCCGUACCCAGAAUCGACACCGAUGCCCUAGCUUAGUAGGCUAAGACGUGAAAGGAGAAACUGAUUAAGGGAAUUCGGCAAUUUAGCCCCUUAGCUUCGGUAGAAGGGGUGUCUAUAAUCGUCUCUGAUUUAUGAGAGGCGUUCGUAGAUCGCAGUGACAAGGACUGCCCGACUGUUUAUCAAAAACGUAGCCGGUUGCCAAUCCGAAAGGACGUGUAGAACCGGUGAGACCUGCCCAGUCGUGGUGUUUCAAAUCCUGGUACAACAGGGCUAAGACCCAUGAAACGGCGGGCCUAACUAUGAGGCUCUUAAGGUAGCGUAAUGCCUUGUCGUCUGAAUGGCGACGUGCAUGAAUGGUUUAACGAGGUGGUCGCUGUCCCUAGUCAGGUCCUUCUGAAAAUACUUGGUGGUGAAAAUGCCACCGUCUUCUAGUGGGAAGCGGAGACCUUGUGGACCUUUACUGCAACUUGUUGUUGUGAUGUUAAGAAUGGUGCAUAGCAUAGGUAGGAGCGUCGAAGGUAAAUUUUAGGAUUUACUGGAGCGACCCUGUAAUACUACCCAUCGUUCUUGGCAUUGCUCACCUCCUUUGGGGGGACACCAGCAGGCGGGCAGUUUGGCUGGGGCGGCACCCUGCAGAAAAGAUAUCUGUAGGGCCCAAAGACAAGCUCAUCCAGGUUGGAAAUCUGGAGUUGAGUGCGAGGGCAAAAGCUUGUCUGACUGUGUUUCGCAUAGCAAGAAACGCAGAGAUGAAAGUCUGGCCUAGCGACCCCACGUAGCUUAGUAAUAGGGCUCGUGUGUGACAGAAAAGGUACCCCAAGGAUAACAGGCUUGUCGCGCCCGAUAGUACAUAUUGACGGCGCGGUUUGGUACAUCGCUGUCGGCUCUUCCUAUCCUGGUACUGCACAAGGUACCAAGGGUGCUGGAGUUCACAUAUUAAAAGGGAUCGUUAGCUGGGUUAAGAACGUCGCGAGACAGUUUGUAUGAUAUCUACUAGAAGUGUUGUUGUUUGAGUGGAACGAGUGCUCAGUACGAGAGGAACGGUACUCGGAUGCCUCUGGUGUAUCGGUUGUUAUGAGCAGGCCGAGCAGCUACGCAUUCAUGGAUAAGCGCUGAAAGCAUCUAAGCGCGAAGUCACCCGCAAGACGAAACAACGAAGGCCGUCAUAGAAGAUGACGUUGAUAGAGUUGCUGUGUAAUGUUCGAGGCAACGAGAAUGUAAGCAGGCAACUACUAAUAGCCUCACUCUAUUUU